UUACUUUGGCAGAUUAGUGCAUAUAAUUUAGAAUUAUGUUAAGUAAAAUUUUACAAGUAAUAU
This 63-nucleotide transfer RNA is filed under the name Calochromus sp. UPOL MT0039. RNAcentral's name for it is "tRNA-Leu". Lineage: Eukaryota; Metazoa; Arthropoda; Insecta; Coleoptera; Lycidae. The record is from RNAcentral.